Molecule: unclassified non-coding RNA, 358 nt
Filed under: soil metagenome
Description: partial contains 5.8S ribosomal RNA, internal transcribed spacer 2, and large subunit ribosomal RNA
Rfam family: 5.8S ribosomal RNA (bases 1-120)
Source: RNAcentral
GAUGAAGAACGUAGUGAAAUGAGAUAAGUAAUGUGAAUUGCAGAAUUCAGUGAAUCAUCGAAUCUUUGAACGCACAUUGCGCCCGUCAGUAUUCUGGCGGGCAUGCCUGUUCGAGCGUCAUUACGCCCCUCAAGUCCCCUGUGGACUUGGUGUUGGGGAUCGGCGAGGCUGGUUUUCCAGCACAGCCGUCCCUUAAAUUAAUUGGCGGUCUCGCCGUGGCCCUCCUCUGCGCAGUAGUAAAACACUCGCAACAGGAGCCCGGCGCGGUCCACUGCCGUAAAACCCCCCAACUUUUUAUAGUUGACCUCGAAUCAGGUAGGACUACCCGCUGAACUUAAGCAUAUCAAUAAGCGGAGGA